GCUAGUGACGAUAGCAAGUUGAAUGCACUGGUUCAACAUGGAGCACUGAAGUUAAGCAACGUUACAUGUGGUUAGUAUCCGGAUGGGUGACCAUCCAGUGACGAUAGCGGGCGUUUGUC
RNAcentral lists this ribosomal RNA (119 nucleotides) under Diaphorina citri (Asian citrus psyllid). Lineage: Eukaryota; Metazoa; Arthropoda; Insecta; Hemiptera; Psyllidae. The record is from RNAcentral.